Long non-coding RNA from Nannospalax galili (Upper Galilee mountains blind mole rat), 828 nucleotides. RefSeq lists it as uncharacterized. The transcript has 5 exons. The record is from RefSeq and is a predicted model, not a curated record. Lineage: Eukaryota; Metazoa; Chordata; Mammalia; Rodentia; Spalacidae.
GUCAUAAUUUGGCAUUAUUAGGAAGCAAUGGAGAUUUUCAGAAGUGGUACCUACUUGGAGGAAGCAGUUCACUGGGGGCAUGUCCUUGGUGGCUGUACCUUGUCCUGAGCCCUCCUCUGUCUCUGCUUUCUAGCUGCCUACUAUGAGGAAGGCCCAGUUGCUUCAGUGAUGGGGGACAAGGAUCAGGAUGGAGGAAAAGGCAGAGUGGCUGUUGUUCACCUCACCUCUGGGUACAACCACUGAUUUGGGAGUAGCUUGGAAUGCUACAGGAACAUUUCAAGCAAGAAUUGAAUUACAAGUGAAAUUUGGGAGAAAAGCCUGCACUGAGGUGUACAUUUGGGAUCAUCAGCAUAUAUGUGGCUGAUCCUGGGACUGGUUGAGGUCAACCAGAAAGAGUGUGGAUGGAGAAAAGAAGAGCUGAAGAUUGGACCCUGGCACCUUCCAGCAUUCAAAGAUCCAGAGCAUGAAGUAGAAGCUACAAAGCAGGCUGAGAGAGAAGCCAGUGAAGUGACCCAAUGAGUGAGCCCCAGGAUGUCCAGAGAACUUUCUCCAGUGGAGAGCUGAUCCAGUGGAGCCCUAUACUGCUGGAAGAAAGCAGACCAGCUGUGGCAACUGUAGAAUGGGUGCGGAGGGAAGUGAAGACUAGAUUUUAAAGGUGGCAACAGAUUGGUAAUAUACGAGCAUUAAAAAAAUUCAAAAGAUAAGCAGAAAAUUCAUCUAUAGGAAACAUGAUGCUCUACCUCACCACAGGCCAGAAAACAGUGGAGUGGAAUAAGAGUGGACUGACAACCUGGGAGCUGCAAACCGAAUAAAUCUUUGCCAAAUUAA